This 629-nucleotide long non-coding RNA is filed under the name Marmota monax (woodchuck). The record is from RNAcentral. Lineage: Eukaryota; Metazoa; Chordata; Mammalia; Rodentia; Sciuridae.
ACUAGUGUUUGCUUAUGUGUGUAUGAAUAUAGUUGGAUAUACAUGUUUGUCUUUCUGAUAGGACAAGGCUUCCACUCAGAUUUACUGAAGAGUGAAGAUGUAUGGUUUCAAUCAAUUGAGAAUCGUGUAAUUGUACUUGGCACAAUUACUCACUUGGACCAAAACAGAAACAAAGAAAGGAAAAAAAAAAUGAGUGGUAGGCCUGAGGAACAGAUAAUUCUACAAUGAAUUUUUUUGCUCGUGCACUCAUGGAUUCCAGAGUACAAUUGUAAAUUGGAUGUAGAGCAAAAUAAAUUUAUUUAAACUGCUGGAUAAAACCCAUUAUUAGAUCAAACUAACCAGUUUGUAAAAUUUUAUUAAAAUAGAGUAGCAAAUAUCAACCUAUAUCUCAUAUAUUAGGGUAAUUAUCAUGCAUCAAACAUUUGUUCAGCUGUAUUUAUGCAUGCAGGUGUUUUUAGUAGGUCAUGAUGUGCAAAUGCUGACUGCAAAUUAAUUCUUGUUCUCGGAGUGUGUGUGUGCAGAACCCUUUGGAGUUCAAUGACAAUGCCUUGGAUGAUGCAGAAGAACAAGUAGGGACCUUGGAGUAUGAAUUGGUUCUACAAAAGCCUGGACUUGAAGGUAGGAGAAAG